Long non-coding RNA from Salvia miltiorrhiza (redroot sage), 1919 nucleotides. RefSeq lists it as uncharacterized. The record is from RefSeq and is a predicted model, not a curated record. Lineage: Eukaryota; Viridiplantae; Streptophyta; Magnoliopsida; Lamiales; Lamiaceae. The transcript has 5 exons.
CAUUUUUCUCUCAAAUCCCUCCCAAUCGAGCUCUCCUAAAAAUUUAUACAAAGAAAUUUCUCUCCCCCUUCUCUUUCAAGCUGAGCGGACCAGCUAGGGCUCCGCCGCCGCCGCCGCCGAAGUUCCGGCGAGGAGAGCCGGCCUCGUCCGCCUUAUCUCUCUUUCUUUUGACUCAAUUCGGGCAUUCACAAACUCACACCACCGCCCGACUUCUCAAUCUCCGGCGAACUGCAGUGAGAAGCCGCCGCCACUCUCCCUCAAAAUCUCACCUAACCACCGCCUCAAUUUGAAAAGGUUCCAGCCGCCACCACCGCCUGUAUCUCAAGCGGCGGCGCCACUCUCUCCUCCAAACCCUAGAUCCCUAAUUCCUCUGUCUGAAACCCUAGGGCCCCAGAUCUAGACUCCACCCUCUCCGACCUCCGGCAUCAAUAACAGCUCCUCACCGCCGUGCCUGGACUUCCUCGAUCCCGAGUCAGACGGCGGCUAAGCGUCACCGCCGAUACUCUCUUUAAUUUUUGUGAAGCAGGAUUAUUAUGUGAAUAUGGGUUACACGAUUUAGACUAUCCGACAGGAGUUUCCAGAGCUUUUCUACCGAGAGCUAAGCUUUUAUACACGCCAUUUUUUGCUCGUUGAUGCGUUUUUUAGCUUUCAAGUUUAAUUUAAUUAUUCGUUUAGUUUUGGGGAUCAUAGUGAAGAAAUUAACAAGCCUACUUUGAGUAAAUCAAGUACUUGGGACUGGUUCACUGAAUUAAUACGAAUUGUUUGAUAUGGUAUUUGUAUUAACAUGUGAUCGAGUUGUGUUCUGUUUCUUGAUUUUGGGUUCAGUAAUUUCUUAACUUAUUUCUUUUUCUUGCAAAAAUUAGGACCUCCAAAACUAGAGAAUGAAGCUGGACACUCAGUUUAAGGUUUACCGUGAUGAGCUCUCAGAGCUCAAGAAGUAGCUAAAUACUGAAGUUGAUCAGCUCCGAACAGUUAGUGGCCCUUCUAUUCUUCAUACUUAUACCUUACAUCCUUGAUAAUAGCACUUUAGGUAAAGACUUUGAAAUGAGGUUCCAGUUCUGAAGAGCGAUUUUGUCGUGUUAUUUCUGAUUUUGAAGCGAUUAAGGUUUUAAUUUGAGAAAAUUGAAUAACUGGAUAAGUGGUUGAUUGUGAAGUUCAAUUAGCUGAUAAGUAGCUAAUGUAAAUUAAGUGAAUUUCAAUUAGCUUAUUUUCUUGCUGCAUUGUUCGACUUGAAUAUGUAGCUGGUGUAUUUGUUGAAUUGAGAUGUGAUUGAUACAUACGACUAAGAUUAUGCUAAUUGUUUGCUUUUCUUUCUUGUUAGAUUAUGUGGCUACAAAGGUUGUUGAACGUGAUAUGUCUUUAGCAAUCAAAAUGAUGCUUAGUUUUUUGGCAAAAUUUGAAUUUUUUGAACUGCUGCAUUUGGUUUGAUGCCAAUUUAAGGAACUGAUUAAACUGUUUAGUUAAUUUCAGAAUAGGGCAUUGGAGAUAUCAUCUGAUUUAAAGUGAAGUAGGGAACAUCCAUAUUUCUUGUUGAUUUUUGGGCAGGAAAGUGAAGGCGGAUUUCUGAAAUUGAAGAAAACAAGUGAAUGGCUGUUGGGAGACGUUGACUCAGCACCAAGGUUCUUGCUGUUACGGUCAAAUUUAUUCUAAAAGAUGUUGAGUAGAGAAACACAUCAUUUAAUCUGAGGCUGUUACUUCAGGUUUGUGGUGGAUUAAAUGAGCCGUACGUUGAGCUGAAGAGUCUUGUGAAUUAACAAGAAAAGUUGUACCGGAUGGCUAGCUAGUUGCAUAUUUAAUAUGUUUAGUAUUUUUGUAAGGAAUAAUAGUAUAGAUAAAGCAGUUGUUGAAUUUUGACUAUAUUCAAAUCUUGUAUGAAUUCUUUUUUAUGAUAAUAAUAUAAAAUUAAAUAUUUUGGAUGA